Molecule: ribosomal RNA, 372 nt
Filed under: uncultured organism
Description: partial 16S ribosomal RNA
Rfam family: Bacterial small subunit ribosomal RNA
Source: RNAcentral
GUAGGUGGCAAGCGUUGUCCGGAAUUAUUGGGCGUAAAGCGCGCGCAGGCGGUUCUUUAAGUCUGAUGUGAAAGCCCACGGGCUCAACCGUGGAGGGUCAUUGGAAACUGGAGAACUUGAGUACAGAAGAGGAAAGCGGAAUUCCACGUGUAGCGGUGAAAUGCGUAGAGAUGUGGAGGAACACCAGUGGCGAAGGCGGCUUUCUGGUCUGUAACUGACGCUGAGGCGCGAAAGCGUGGGGAGCAAACAGGAUUAGAUACCCUGGUAGUCCACGCCGUAAACGAUGAGUGCUAAGAGUUAGGGGGUUUCCGCCCCUUAGUGCUGCAGCUAACGCAUUAAGCACUCCGCCUGGGGAGUACGGCCGCAAGGCUG